GGAUGCGAUCAUACCAGCCCUAAAGCACCGGAUCCCAUCAGAACUCCGAAGUUAAGCGUGCUUGGGCGAGAGUAGUACUAGGAUGGGUGACCUCCUGGGAAGUCCUCGUGUUGCAUUCCC
Molecule: ribosomal RNA, 120 nt
Filed under: Thinopyrum intermedium
Lineage: Eukaryota; Viridiplantae; Streptophyta; Magnoliopsida; Poales; Poaceae
Source: RNAcentral